AGAGUUUGAUCAUGGCUCAGAACGUACGCUGGCGGCACGCCUAAUACAUGCAAGUCGAACGAAGUAGCAAUACUUAGUGGCAGACGGGUGAGUAAUAUGUAGGUAUCUUCCCAUUGGUGAGGAAUAACACGAGGAAACUUGUGCUAAUACCUCAUAAGUCUUUACGGAGAAAGCUUUAUGCGCCGAUGGAUGAGCCUGCACUUGAUUAGUUUGUUGGUAGGGUAAUGGCCUACCAAGACAAUGAUCAAUAGCUGAUUUGAGAGGAUGAUCAGCCACAUUGGGACUGAGACACGGCCCAAACUCCUACGGGAGGCAGCAGUAGGGAAUCUUGCACAAUGGGGGAAACCCUGAUGCAGCGAUGCCGCGUGAGUGAAGAAGGCCUUUGGGUUGUAAAGCUCUUUCGUCGGGGAAGAAAAUGACUGUACCCGAAUAAGAAGGUCCGGCUAACUUCGUGCCAGCAGCCGCGGUAAUACGAAGGGACCUAGCGUAGUUCGGAAUUACUGGGCUUAAAGAGUUCGUAGGUGGUUAAAAAAGUUGGUGGUGAAAUCCCAGAGCUUAACUCUGGAACUGCCAUUAAAACUUUUCAGCUAGAGUAUGAUAGAGGAAAGCAGAAUUUCUAGUGUAGAGGUGAAAUUCGUAGAUAUUAGAAAGAAUACCAAUUGCGAAGGCAGCUUUCUGGAUCAUUACUGACACUGAGGAACGAAAGCAUGGGUAGCGAAGAGGAUUAGAUACCCUCGUAGUCCAUGCCGUAAACGAUGUGUGUUAGACGUUGGAAAUUUAUUUUCAGUGUCGCAGCGAAAGCGAUAAACACACCGCCUGGGGAGUACGACCGCAAGGUUAAAACUCAAAUGAAUUGACGGGGACCCGCACAAGUAGUGGAGCAUGUGGUUUAAUUCGAAGAUACGCGCAGAACCUUACCAACACUUGACAUGUUCGUCGCGACUCUAAGAGAUUAGAGUUUUCGGUACGGCCGGACGAAACACAGGUGCUGCAUGGCUGUCGUCAGCUCGUGUCGUGAGAUGUUGGGUUAAGUCCCGCAACGAGCGCAACCCUCACUUUUAGUUGCCAUCAUUAAGUUGGGCACUCUGAAAGAACUGCCAGUGAUAAGCUGGAGGAAGGUGGGGAUGACGUCAAGUCCUCAUGGCCCUUACGUGUUGGGCUACACACGUGCUACAAUGGUAUCUACAACAGGAAGCAAGACUGCGAGGUCAAGCAAAUCCUUAAAAGAUACCUCAGUUCGGAUUGCACUCUGCAACUCGAGUGCAUGAAGCUGGAAUUACUAGUAAUCGUGGAUCAGCGUGCCACGGUGAAUGCGUUCCCGGGUCUUGUACACACCGCCCGUCACACCAUGGGAGUUGGUUCUACCUUAAGGCAAGGUUUAAAACCCUUGACCACGGUAUAGUCAGCGACUGGGGUGAAGUCGUAACAAGGUAACCGUA
Molecule: ribosomal RNA, 1439 nt
Filed under: uncultured bacterium
Lineage: Bacteria
Description: bacterial SSU rRNA
Rfam family: Bacterial small subunit ribosomal RNA
Source: RNAcentral